Molecule: ribosomal RNA, 622 nt
Filed under: Tolypocladium sp. OTU006 AN-2016
Lineage: Eukaryota; Fungi; Ascomycota; Sordariomycetes; Hypocreales; Ophiocordycipitaceae
Description: eukaryotic LSU rRNA
Rfam family: 5.8S ribosomal RNA (bases 238-391)
Source: RNAcentral
UCCUUGGUCCCCUUUAGAGGAAGUAAAAGUCGUAACAAGGUCUCCGUUGGUGAACCAGCGGAGGGAUCAUUACCGAGUUAUCAACUCCCAAACCCCUGUGAACAUACCACAACGUUGCCUCGGCGGGACCGCCCCGGCGCCCCUAGCGGCCCGGAACCAGGCGCCCGCCGGAGGACCCAAACUCUUGCUUUGAACAGUGGCAUACUCUCUGAGUCUCACAAACAAAAAAUAAAUUAAAACUUUCAACAACGGAUCUCUUGGCUCUGGCAUCGAUGAAGAACGCAGCGAAAUGCGAUAAGUAAUGUGAAUUGCAGAAUUCAGUGAAUCAUCGAAUCUUUGAACGCACAUUGCGCCCGCCAGCAUUCUGGCGGGCAUGCCUGUCCGAGCGUCAUUUCAACCCUCAGGGAGCCCCUUCGCGGGGGGGACCUGGUGUUGGGGGCCGGCCGCCCGCGCCGCCCCCGAAAUGCAGUGGCGACCUCGCCGCAGCCUCCCCUGCGUAGUAGCACAACCUCGCACCGGAGCGCGGAGACGGUCACGCCGUAAAACGCCCAACUUUCAAGAGUUGACCUCGGAUCAGGUAGGAAUACCCGCUGAACUUAAGCAUAUCAUAAGCCGGAAGGAA